UAUCAAGUCAUACUGAUAACCAUAUUCUGAAGCUCAACUGAAACCAAGUACAAUAUUUGAACAAGCAUAUAGGUGUAUGGUACAUAAAAGUUUACAAUCAUCAAAGGACACAUGAUAAAAGUUUACAAUCAUCAAAGGACAUAUGAUAAAAGUUCACAAUCAUCAAAGAACAUAUGAUAAAAGUUUACAAACAUCAAAGGACAUAUGAUGGACUGCUCCGUUGCUCCUCUAAUCAUCAUCUCCAUGGUGGCGUCUCUUCCUCUUUUCUGAUUUUUUGGUAUCCCUACCCUUCCUUGAACCAUUAUAUCCAUCACCCGAA
RNAcentral lists this long non-coding RNA (319 nucleotides) under Medicago truncatula (barrel medic). RNAcentral describes it as "long non-coding RNA (MTRU_LNC001695)". The record is from RNAcentral. Lineage: Eukaryota; Viridiplantae; Streptophyta; Magnoliopsida; Fabales; Fabaceae.